GAGGGUGUAGCUAAGUGGUAGAGUGCAUGCUUAGCAUACACAAGUCCUGAGUUCAAUCCCCAGCACCUCCU
RNAcentral lists this transfer RNA (71 nucleotides) under Camelus bactrianus (Bactrian camel). It matches the Rfam family "tRNA". Rfam says of the family: Transfer RNA (tRNA) molecules are approximately 80 nucleotides in length. Their secondary structure includes four short double-helical elements and three loops (D, anti-codon, and T loops). The record is from Rfam by way of RNAcentral. Lineage: Eukaryota; Metazoa; Chordata; Mammalia; Artiodactyla; Camelidae. RNAcentral also lists the same sequence under 2 other names.